CUUAAAUUGAAGAGUUUGAUCAUGGCUCAGAUUGAACGCUGGCGGCAGGCCUAACACAUGCAAGUCGA
RNAcentral lists this ribosomal RNA (68 nucleotides) under Vibrio alginolyticus. Its description in RNAcentral is "partial 16S ribosomal RNA". It matches the Rfam family "Bacterial small subunit ribosomal RNA", at positions 1 to 65 of the family's 1533-position model. The record is from RNAcentral. Lineage: Bacteria; Pseudomonadati; Pseudomonadota; Gammaproteobacteria; Vibrionales; Vibrionaceae. RNAcentral also lists the same sequence under 2 other names.